This 554-nucleotide ribosomal RNA is filed under the name uncultured bacterium. RNAcentral describes it as "partial 16S ribosomal RNA". It matches the Rfam family "Bacterial small subunit ribosomal RNA", at positions 355 to 900 of the family's 1533-position model. The record is from RNAcentral.
UAGGGAAUCUUCCACAAUGGACGCAAGUCUGAUGGAGCAACGCCGCGUGAGUGAAGAAGGUUUUCGGAUCGUAAAGCUCUGUUGUUGGUGAAGAAGGAUAGAGGCAGUAACUGGUCUUUAUUUGACGGUAAUCAACCAGAAAGUCACGGCUAACUACGUGCCAGCAGCCGCGGUAAUACGUAGGUGGCAAGCGUUGUCCGGAUUUAUUGGGCGUAAAGCGAGCGCAGGCGGAAUGAUAAGUCUGAUGUGAAAGCCCACGGCUCAACCGUGGAACUGCAUCGGAAACUGUCAUCCUUGAGUGCAGAAGAGGAGAGUGGAACUCCAUGUGUAGCGGUGGAAUGCGUAGAUAUAUGGAAGAACACCAGUGGCGAAGGCGGCUCUCUGGUCUGCAACUGACGCUGAGGCUCGAAAGCAUGGGUAGCGAACAGGAUUAGAUACCCUGGUAGUCCAUGCCGUAAACGAUGAGCGCUAGGUGUUGGGGACUUUCCGGUUCUCAGUGCCGCAGCAAACGCAUUAAGCGCUCCGCCUGGGGAGUACGACCGCAAGGUUGAAAC